UCCAUUAGCUUUCUAAUCAACCCAUGUAACAAGUGUUAGGCCAAUAACUCCCAAGCUAGAUAGCUUUAGGGUAUUAAGUGUAAAACACUCCUCGGGCUUAAAAACUCGAGUUGAAAAGGCUUCGGAAUCAGACCUUUUUUCUUCUUUUUUUUUUGUUUUUUUGUUUUUUUGUUUUUUUGUUUUUUUGUUUUUGAAACAGUAUCAUGUACACAUGAUUGAACAAUUUAUGCAAUUCUCCCUUAACCAUGAAAGUGCUCUACAAAACUCCUUAGAAGGGUGUAGGAUAAAUAUGCAAAAGAUUCAGGUGAAGAGAAUUGGGUAAAGAAUGAUAAAGGCUUACAUAAAAGGCACAAGGGGUUGACUACGGAUAAAAUUGAUAUGGGUUGGCUGGAAAGGCUCAAACGAACGAAACAAGGCCUUUAUCACUUCCUAGGAUCCAUGUGGUUCAUGAAAUAUGCCUCAAAUAGAUAAUGAAAGUAGUUCUAGCAAACAAUUUAAACAUCCUCAAGUACUUGACCAAAAC
This 523-nucleotide long non-coding RNA is filed under the name Prunus persica (peach). Its description in RNAcentral is "long non-coding RNA (PPER_LNC006258)". Lineage: Eukaryota; Viridiplantae; Streptophyta; Magnoliopsida; Rosales; Rosaceae. The record is from RNAcentral.